Molecule: ribosomal RNA, 250 nt
Filed under: uncultured bacterium
Lineage: Bacteria
Description: partial 16S ribosomal RNA
Rfam family: Bacterial small subunit ribosomal RNA
Source: RNAcentral
CGGUCCUAGUGGCGAACGGUCGCGUAACACGUAAGCAACCUGCCCUGAAGUGGGGGACAACAUCCCGAAAGGGGUGCUAAUACCGCAUGUGGUCACGAGUCGGCAUCGGCUUGUGUCUAAAGAUUUAUCGCUUCAGGAUGGGCUUGCGGCCUAUCAGGUAGUUGGUGGGGUAAUGGCCUACGGAGAAAGACGACGGGUAGCUGGUCUGAGAGGACGAUCAGCCGGAUUUUUUCUGAGAUACGGACCAGAC